GUCGAGCUUAUUAACUCAAGCUUGUAACCCGAGUGGGGACAUCAAAGUGUUGGAACGUUGGUUCGGCCUCAGCGGGUCGGCUCUGUCGUGGCUCUAUUCUAACCCGCCCGUUCCAAGCCCGGAGUUGUGCCGUGGAGUUUGGGCGAAGGCUCAUGCUUCACGGCUCCUAGAGGGGAGGGCACCGCGGAAGGCUGGCUUCACAGAGCAACGACCACCUCCCGUUCUUGGCAGUGGAAGGAUAACGGGUUGGUGCCACUCGGAUCCGAUAUGGCCUGCUGGACUGUCCCAAUUGGACCAACAUUUUU
RNAcentral lists this signal recognition particle RNA (305 nucleotides) under Malus domestica (apple). Its description in RNAcentral is "sRNA MD08G0124700". It matches the Rfam family "Plant signal recognition particle RNA". Lineage: Eukaryota; Viridiplantae; Streptophyta; Magnoliopsida; Rosales; Rosaceae. The record is from RNAcentral.